AUACGAAGGGGGCUAGCGUUGUUCGGAUUUACUGGGCGUAAAGCGCACGUAGGCGGAUUGAUAAGUUAGGGGUGAAAUCCCGAGGCUCAACCUCGGAACUGCCUCUAAUACUGUCAAUCUCGAGACCGGAAGAGGUGAGUGGAACUCCUAGUGUAGAGGUGGAAUUCGUAGAUAUUAGGAAGAAAACCAGUGGCGAAGGCGGCUCACUGGUCCGGUACUGACGCUGAGGUGCGAAAGCGUGGGGAGCGAACAGGAUUAGAAACCCUAGUAGUCC
RNAcentral lists this ribosomal RNA (274 nucleotides) under uncultured bacterium. Its description in RNAcentral is "partial 16S ribosomal RNA". It matches the Rfam family "Bacterial small subunit ribosomal RNA", at positions 523 to 796 of the family's 1533-position model. The record is from RNAcentral.